This 481-nucleotide ribosomal RNA is filed under the name uncultured bacterium. RNAcentral describes it as "partial 16S ribosomal RNA". It matches the Rfam family "Bacterial small subunit ribosomal RNA", at positions 28 to 523 of the family's 1533-position model. The record is from RNAcentral.
GACGAACGCUGGCGGCGUGCUUAACACAUGCAAGUCGAACGGUGAAAGGGAGCUUGCUCCCUGGAUCAGUGGCGAACGGGUGAGUAACACGUGGGCAACCUGCCCCUGACUCUGGGAUAACGCUUCGAAAGAGGUGCUAAUACCGGAUACGAACUCCCUUGGCAUCUUGGGAGUUGGAAAGUUUUUCGGUCAGGGAUGGGCCCGCGGCCUAUCAGCUUGUUGGUGAGGUAACGGCUCACCAAGGCGACGACGGGUAGCCGGCCUGAGAGGGCGCCCGGCCACAUGGGGACAGAGACACGGCCCAGACUCCUACGGGGGGCAGCGGUGGGGAAUAUGGCGCAAGGGGCGAAAGCCUGACGCAGCAACGCGGCGUGAGGGAUGACGGCCUUGGGGUUGUAAACCUUUUUCAGCAGGAAAGAAGCGAAAGUGACGUUACCGGAAUAAGAAGCACCGGCUAAUUACGUGCCAGCCGCCGCGGUAA